AUGAGGCCCAGGUCAGGCCAGGCGGGCCCUGAGGCCCCCAGGGGUCCGAGCUGCGUCCCCAGGCCGCCCUGGCCUCUGAUACUGCUGGGCCUGGCCGUGGGCGCCCACGGCCUGCUGCCCCCGACGGCGGCACCGCGCAGCACGGCCCCCCGCGCGGAAGCCCCCGCAGGAAGCAGCGCUUGGAGCCUGCGGAGCCUGUGGGAGAGGGCCCCGCCCCAGCCCCGCCCCCGGAGGGUCGGCCACAGGUGCUGGCCUGGCGGGGUUUGGUCACCGUGGUUCAUCUUCGGUGGUGGGACCGAGGUCACCGUCCUAGGUCAGCCCAAGUCCGCACCCUCGGUCACUCUGUUCCCGCCCUCCACUGAGGAGCUCAAGAUCAACAGGGCCACCCUGGUGUGUCUCAUCAAUGACUUCCACCCGGGCAGCGUGACGGUGGCCUGGAAGGCAGGCGGCACCCCCAUCACCCAGGGCGUGGAGACCACCCAGGCCUCCAAGCAGAGCAACAGCAAGUACGCGGCCAGCAGCUACCUGACCCUGACGGCCAGCGACUGGAAAUCUCACUCGAGCUACAGCUGCCUGGUCACACACGAGGGGAGCACCGUGGAGAAGACAGUGGUGUCCUCAGGGUGCCAUUAGGUCCCUGGGC
Molecule: non-coding RNA, 643 nt
Organism: Hippopotamus amphibius kiboko
Lineage: Eukaryota; Metazoa; Chordata; Mammalia; Artiodactyla; Hippopotamidae
Source: the annotation of a RefSeq genome assembly